GCAGGAGGCGGCGGCGCUGAGCCUGUGUUGCGGCGCCCUCUGGUGGGGGCGGCGCGCAGCCGCAGCCCCGCUCGGGGCCGGGCCGCGCUGGGAGCGCCGCCGGGACCCGCCGCUCCGCAGCAGCUCCGAGCGCUUUCCCAGCGCCACAUGCUCGUUGCUGGAAAGGCUCUGCCGCUCUGCUCUCUUGGAAAUGAUCAAGCUCGGCUCUUACAUAACGCACAACAAUUCGCAAGGAACAGAUCGCACUCAGACCAUAUGUCUCUAUUUGGAUGUUACUUAGUUUGCGGUUCCAUAUUGCAAAGCUGUUGGUUUGCUUUGUUUGCCUUAAUGAUAUGCAGUAUGCCAUUAUUAUGAUAUUGCUGCAGCUCUAAAGAAGAGUGACACUGACAGUAUUGAAAUUAAAGGUGCCAGUAACACCAUGAUAUCUGCAAAGAGGGCUGCUUUGACCCUCUUCACCUAACCCUUUCACACUUGUAUAUUUUUUUACUCCCUUAUCCUUCUCUUAGACUGACAUGGUGAUAUUUAGAGGGUAUCUCUAAUAAUGGGAAAAGAAUAGAGAGGAAUGAAGAUAAGGUUUAAUCUCUGGUGAAACUUGAAUAAAUGUUGGAUCAGAUAUGGCGUAAAGGAGCAUCAUAGAGUUCUAAAGAACGAGGUGGGGAGCAAUGAAGAUGCAGAUCUCCCAUGGAGAGAUUGCCGGGGAGAGAUUCUGACAUACUACAUUGUGGAGGAGUUAGUAAAAGGAGAGAUCCUCACAUUAGCUCCCCUGAAAUCCAUUUGGCUCACCAUUAGAGUCAGGAGCAAUCAAGGCAAUGUCAGUGAAGCUUCUUCCUCUGACUGUCCCCCAAUAUAUUGCUUAACUGCUUUAUCUGAUUAUUGAAAGCCUACAAUCAGAACUAUCACUCUUCUCAAGUUAGUUAACCCAGAGCAUGGUACAUAAUGCAGAGCAGUUUACUACAAAUUAAGGACUGAAUUCAGACAGUUCUACUUUUGUGAGCCCUAAAAACUCUUUGUUUCCCAAUGGACUUGCUUAGAGCUUGCAUCAAAUAGUUGUACAAAACAAACUCAUGGUAGGUUGUGAACCUUUGCUUUAGAAAAGUAUUGGGUUGUUGAACAGCCACCAUUCUUUGGGCCAGUUUUGUUUAUUGAAUGCAUUUGAACUGCAUUAUUUUGCUCUGGCACAUUGACUGUGUAGAGCUUGAACAACAGGAGAGGAGGCUGUGGGGGAGGGAGGGAGAAACUAAAGACAGCAAGCUGACCUCCCUGUAUGCUUGUUUCUGCUGCUUUCCUGCACUCCACUGACAGCCAGUCCCACAUGAUGCAUGGUGAUUGCUGAAACCUGCUACCUGCUGUGUGAGUCUGAUACUUUCCAAAGGCUGAUUGUAGCUGAGAAAUGGAUGACCCUUGCUCUCACACAUCCACACACAAUACGAAUAAUAUUUCUUGGGCAGGAACAAGAUGGGUUUUUUCCUGGUUUUUUCUUCACUCCACAUGGGAAAGGUGCUGCCUAUUAUUGACUAACCUCAGUUAUGGACUCAAGACGUGUUUUAUAUAACAUAUAGCAUUUUGUGGUCUGUCACAUCUGUUUUUAUGCUCCUUGUUUUUCCCUUGAUAGUGUUGCCUGGCAUGGUAAUGCCUGCAAACACAAUGAAAGCAAUUCUCAUCAUAGUAGCAUCUCAAGUGGUACUUUCAUUGGCUUCACAUUUACCUCCUGUAAUAUGAUUAAUUUUGUUGGCAGUUAGAAUAGCUCCUGCUGUGAAGCUCAUGUGCUCUUUCUCUGGGACUUAUGUUCCCUUUCUGUUAUAUGCCCUCAACAGAUGUGAGAAAAAAUAAGGAGACAUGUGAUGCAAAUAUCUUGCAGAGGGCAUGAACUCAACAUGCUUCACAGGCUGCUCAGAUCCUUAGAGAUCACCGGUAUGAAGAUUUGAGCAUCAGAUGGAAUUUAUCUGGUUACCAUAUAAAAAUCUACAAGGAGUGUACAGGCACAGUGCAAUGAAUAAAAAUAUGCAGAAGAUUUCAGUGAAAGGGUAUAAAAAUGAAAUACAUCAUUAAUUCUUCAAA
Molecule: non-coding RNA, 2058 nt
Organism: Taeniopygia guttata (zebra finch)
Lineage: Eukaryota; Metazoa; Chordata; Aves; Passeriformes; Estrildidae
Source: RefSeq, a predicted model, not a curated record